UUUUCGAGGCGAAAUUAACGAGAGUCGAGAAGGAAGAGCCUCUGCAUGGUCACAUCGGUUGCAAAUCCCACUUCCACACUUGAUUAGGUUUAGGUCAGGCUCUUCCUUCUCGCCUCUCGUUAAUUUCGCUUCGCAAA
Non-coding RNA from Paramuricea clavata, 137 nucleotides. The record is from the annotation of a GenBank genome assembly. NCBI's taxonomy places the organism in Eukaryota, Metazoa, Cnidaria, Anthozoa, Malacalcyonacea, Plexauridae.